Molecule: ribosomal RNA, 253 nt
Filed under: uncultured bacterium
Lineage: Bacteria
Description: partial 16S ribosomal RNA
Rfam family: Bacterial small subunit ribosomal RNA
Source: RNAcentral
UACGGAGGGGGCAAGCGUUGUUCGGAAUCAUUGGGCGUAAAGAGUAUGUAGGCGGCUAUUUAAGUCAGACGUGUAAGCCCACGGCUCAACCGUGGAAUUGCGUUUGAAACUAUUUAGCUUGAGUACAGAAGAGGAAGGCGGAAUUCCCAGUGUAGCGGUGAAAUGCAUUGAUAUUGGGAAGAACACCAGUGGCGAAGGCGGCUCACUGGCUCGAUACUGACGCUGAGGUGCGAAAGUGUGGGGAGCAAACAGG